Molecule: non-coding RNA, 414 nt
Filed under: Streptomyces afghaniensis 772
Lineage: Bacteria; Bacillati; Actinomycetota; Actinomycetes; Kitasatosporales; Streptomycetaceae
Description: Bacterial small subunit ribosomal RNA
Rfam family: Bacterial small subunit ribosomal RNA
Source: Rfam by way of RNAcentral
AUACGUAGGGCGCGAGCGUUGUCCGGAAUUAUUGGGCGUAAAGAGCUCGUAGGCGGCUUGUCACGUCGGUUGUGAAAGCCCGGGGCUUAACCCCGGGUCUGCAGUCGAUACGGGCAGGCUAGAGUUCGGUAGGGGAGAUCGGAAUUCCUGGUGUAGCGGUGAAAUGCGCAGAUAUCAGGAGGAACACCGGUGGCGAAGGCGGAUCUCUGGGCCGAUACUGACGCUGAGGAGCGAAAGCGUGGGGAGCGAACAGGAUUAGAUACCCUGGUAGUCCACGCCGUAAACGGUGGGCACUAGGUGUGGGCAACAUUCCACGUUGUCCGUGCCGCAGCUAACGCAUUAAGUGCCCCGCCUGGGGAGUACGGCCGCAAGGCUAAAACUCAAACGGAAUUGACGGGGGCCCGCACAAGCGGC